CCCCUCUCUGGGCCUCCUGUUUC
Molecule: microRNA, 23 nt
Filed under: Sarcophilus harrisii (Tasmanian devil)
Lineage: Eukaryota; Metazoa; Chordata; Mammalia; Dasyuromorphia; Dasyuridae
Also listed under: 1 other name
Description: Sha-Mir-7319_5p* (star (passenger))
Source: RNAcentral